This 253-nucleotide ribosomal RNA is filed under the name uncultured bacterium. RNAcentral's name for it is "partial 16S ribosomal RNA". It matches the Rfam family "Bacterial small subunit ribosomal RNA", at positions 524 to 776 of the family's 1533-position model. The record is from RNAcentral.
UACGGAGGGUGCAAGCGUUGUUCGGAAUUACUGGGCGUAAAGAGCGUGUAGGCGGUCUAUUAAGUCAGGUGUGAAAGCCCUUGGCUCAACCAAGGAAGUGCAUCUGAAACUGAUCGACUUGAGUACGGGAGAGGAGAGUGGAAUUCCUGGUGUAGAGGUGAAAUUCGUAGAUAUCAGGAGGAACACCGGUGGCGAAGGCGACUCUCUGGACCGAUACUGACGCUGAGACGCGAAAGCUUGGUGAGCAAACAGG